RNAcentral lists this unclassified non-coding RNA (421 nucleotides) under Euphorbia pachypodioides. Its description in RNAcentral is "partial external transcribed spacer". Lineage: Eukaryota; Viridiplantae; Streptophyta; Magnoliopsida; Malpighiales; Euphorbiaceae. The record is from RNAcentral.
UAGCAUUCCUUCAUGCCGUCCCCACCCGUAAGCAGCGAAAGGGCAAGCAUUAGCAGUGAACCCAAGGCUAUUAUACAGGAGAGACGGUCAUUCUUAUAUAGGGACAGCGAGAUCAUGGAGGAAACUCAAUCCCUCCGCUCGCAAAGGAUUCUGCAUCCGAGAGCACAAGCAACUUCCCAUGUGCCAGAGUAGCCAAAAAGGCAUACAAGGUAUACACGACAGCCGCUGUAUGGUUCAUCCAAUGCCACCUUUGACGGGGAAAAGAUGAAUAACUGAGUAAGAAAUUGGAUUCCACUACGUGGGUAUGCAGCACAGAAACCCAUCCUUGCCCGACAUAGCAACAUGCCUUCGGGACAUCACUGAGUGGCCUCAAGGUAGACAGUUCGAUGCACAAGCAUGGAGCCUGCCAACCCCAACAGCC